AUACUUACCUGGCAGGGGAGAUACCAUGAUCACGAAGGUGGUUUUCCCAGGGCAAGGCUUAGCCAUUGCACCCCGGAUGUGCUGAACCCUGCGAUUUCCCCAAACGUGGGAAACUUGACUGCAAAAUUUGUGAUAGUGGGGGACGGCGUUCACACUGUCCUCUG
Small nuclear RNA from Carlito syrichta (Philippine tarsier), 164 nucleotides. Its record names the gene U1. It matches the Rfam family "U1 spliceosomal RNA". Rfam says of the family: U1 is a small nuclear RNA (snRNA) component of the spliceosome (involved in pre-mRNA splicing). NCBI's taxonomy places the organism in Eukaryota, Metazoa, Chordata, Mammalia, Primates, Tarsiidae. The record is from Ensembl.